GUGGGGAAUAUUGCGCAAUGGGCGAAAGCCUGACGCAGCCACGCCGUGUGUGUGAUGAAGGCCUUCGGGUCGUAAAGCACUGUCGGGAGGGAAGAUAGUCACUGUAGUUAAUACCUAGAGUGACCGACGGUACCUCCAAAGGAAGCACCGGCUAACUCUGUGCCAGCAGCCGCGGUAAGACAGAGGGUGCGAGCGUUGUUCGGAAUCAUUGGGCGUAAAGCGCACGUAGGCGGUUUUGCAAGUCGAAUGUGAAAGCCCGGGGCUCAACCCCGGAAGGGCAUUCGAAACUGCAUCACUUGAGUCCCGGAGAGGGUGGUGGAAUUCCUGGUGUAGAGGUGAAAUUCGUAGAUAUCAGGAGGAACACCUGUGGCGAAGGCGACCACCUGGACGAGGACUGACGCUGAGGUGCGAAAGCGUGGGGAGCAAACAGG
This 431-nucleotide ribosomal RNA is filed under the name uncultured bacterium. RNAcentral describes it as "bacterial SSU rRNA". It matches the Rfam family "Bacterial small subunit ribosomal RNA", at positions 354 to 776 of the family's 1533-position model. The record is from RNAcentral.